RNAcentral lists this ribosomal RNA (541 nucleotides) under uncultured fungus. RNAcentral's name for it is "eukaryotic LSU rRNA". The stretch from base 188 to 341 matches the Rfam family "5.8S ribosomal RNA". Lineage: Eukaryota; Fungi. The record is from RNAcentral.
GUCGUAACAAGGUUUCCGUAGGUGAACCUGCGGAAGGAUCAUUACCUAGAGUUUGUAGACUUCGGUCUGCUACCUCUUACCCAUGUCUUUUGAGUACCUUCGUUUCCUCGGCGGGUCCGCCCGCCGAUUGGACAACAUUCAAACCCUUUGCAGUUGCAAUCAGCGUCUGAAAAAACAUAAUAGUUACAACUUUCAACAACGGAUCUCUUGGUUCUGGCAUCGAUGAAGAACGCAGCGAAAUGCGAUAAGUAGCGUGAAUUGCAGAAUUCAGUGAAUCAUCGAAUCUUUGAACGCACAUUGCGCCCCUUGGUAUUCCAUGGGGCAUGCCUGUUCGAGCGUCAUUUGUACCUUCAAGCUCUGCUUGGUGUUGGGUGUUUGUCUCGCCUCUGCGUGUAGACUCGCCUUAAAACAAUUGGCAGCCGGCGUAUUGAUUUCGGAGCGCAGUACAUCUCGCGCUUUGCACUCAUAACGACGACGUCCAAAAGUACAUUUUUACACUCUUGACCUCGGAUCAGGUAGGGAUACCCGCUGAACUUAAGCA